UAGCCACACAGGACAAAUGUUGUCUCUC
RNAcentral lists this non-coding RNA (28 nucleotides) under Rattus norvegicus (Norway rat). Lineage: Eukaryota; Metazoa; Chordata; Mammalia; Rodentia; Muridae. The record is from RNAcentral.